Molecule: long non-coding RNA, 8888 nt
Filed under: Homo sapiens (human)
Lineage: Eukaryota; Metazoa; Chordata; Mammalia; Primates; Hominidae
Description: HSALNT0299789
Source: RNAcentral
GCUUUAGCACCCCGACCACCCUAACAUCUUGCACUGUCUGGGGGCUCCCCGGGCUCAGCAACACCCACCUCUGUGGCUGGGAGCUGGGCUCAGCCACAUCCCUGCAACUUCUCCGGGACACCGCCAUCCAGCUACGCCAAGGCCUGACGGCGGCUCCAUGUUUCCUGCCAAUGGCGGUGCUAUUAAUUUAGCAUUUUGGUUCCUAAGAACAAGAGCUAGCCGUCACCGUUGAUCACUGUGUGCUGUUUGCGGGGUCUUGCUUUUCACACCAGCAUCCUCAGGAGAUAGGUACCAUGUCUCCCCGCUUAUUGGAUAGAAAACUGAGGCAUGCGAAAGAAACGUCACUGUUCAAAGAUCUAUGAUUAAUAAAGCGGCAAAUCAAUCCUUAAAUCCAUGUGGAUGUGCAAUGCCAAUGCCCAUGUUCUUAUUCUUAGCAUAACCUAAAAAAUGAGAGCUUAUAAUAAAGCACAUACAAUUUUAAACUUAGAUGGCAGCUGAGUGUCUUUGGAAAACAUAUAAGUAAUUACUGGAAGCAGAUCACAUCAAUAUAGAAAUUACGAUGUUAAAAUUCUCCAGAGAAUCCCCUUGACACCAAGGCUGGCACCUGUCCUGUUGAGGCUCUUGGAACACAUCAGUGGUUACAUUUUUGUUACGACUUUCACUUUAUGGUUACAGAUGCACACGAAAGAACUGUUUUCGUUCCUUGAGACCAUGAGAUUAGCCUUGUCAUUCUAACGUUAUAUCCCCAUUAUGAUGCCAUUCUAAACUAGAUCUGGAAAUUAUUUCUUCAUUAUUUACAGAGACAGAUUUCCCCACCUAUUUGAAACUGCAACCGAAACUUCUCAGUGCCUUCAGCAAUUUCUAUCUCGGUACUUGGUGAACAGGGGGAGGUUAAGACACCUUUUCUGCUCCUACUCAUUUAUUCAAAAGCCAGUAUUCACAGUUGAUUUAUGGGAUCAUGGGCAGCUCUUGGUCAAUGUAACAGGGAACAGUCCAAAGGUGAACUGAACCCAUGAAAUCUGAGAGCCCAUCAGAAAAGACUCACUGGACAAAUAAGUAAGUAAAACACAAAAAUAUUGCCAACCUGAACCCAACAUGAUGAAAGGCAGGAGAGUAACCCUGGGAGCUGCCACCCACAAGGAAGCGUCUCCUUCUCCAUCCACUCCCAACCAUCCUGCAUCAGCCACAAUCAUACUGACAAACUCACAUGACCUGAGAACUGUCACUGUGUGGUUCAUCAGCAUCAAAUAGUUCUUCUUGAGGGAUCCAUUCAAAGUCCUGGGCCUCCCUGACACCCACGCCCCAAGCCGGUUCUCAUCAGAGGCAGAACCACACCCAGGUGAGGCCUGAACACCCGACCCGUGAUGUGUUGCACCUUCCAAGCCAGCAAAUCCCACUCAAGGUGCAAACGUCCUCCCUUCCUCCAUGAACCAUUUAUGAACUCCAAAUUGAGCCACGUAUCUCCUCCCUAUGGGCUCUUAUUUAAGCAUUCACUGCUGUUUAUUAUACUUUUUUCAGGAUUUUACAGAAUUUAAAAACAAAACAAAACAUGGACUUAAGUAGAACCGGUGCUGAUGAAGCAACUUUAAUACCCAUGACGCCAGUGACUGUGAACUAAGCCUCUGGAGUUUCAGGGCUCACAGACAUUUCAACCUGAGUAAAUUCAGACCUAGCCACACCCUCCACCCACGCCUGUGCCCCAGGCCAGAGCUCACAUCCCAGUGACCCGCAGGUCCCUCUGCUGUAAUCAGAAAGUCCCCAUAGCUCCCUUUAACUUUGUUUUAAAGCACCAGUGACUGGCAUGUCCAUCAGCUAUAAUCUAAAAGUCUCCAUAGCUCCCUUUAACUUUGUUUUAAAGCACCAGUGACUGGCAUGUCCAUCAGCUAUAAUCUAAAAGUCUCCAUAGCUCCCUUUAACUUUGUUUUAAAGCACCAGUGACUGGCAUGUCCAUCAGCUAUAAUCUAAAAGUCUCCAUAGCUCCCUUUAACUUUGUUUUAAAGCAUUUUUGUCCAUUCCAGCAGCAGACCCUCCUAACUCUUCUUCCCAGAUGCAUCACAAAUACAUCCUUACUGUGCCACUGCCCCAAUCCAAGCUCAGGAGACCCAUCUCCUCCCUGGACUGCGACACUCUCUUUCUCUCUGUCCUCCCUAUUUCCACGAUUAGCCCCUGCAACCCAAAGCAACAGCAAUGAUUUUCAAGCACAGAUCAAUUCAUGAUUCAUCCACGCAAUCUCCAGAGAAAGCUCCAAUUUCCUCUGUUAUCUGUGGCUGGGUUGAGGUCAAGCCUGGCUCCUGCCUCCACUUCCCUAUCUCAGCCCCGCCCUGGCCUCACUGCCUCCACCAGCGCCCACAUGAUCUGAGCUCAAGCCUGGCUCCUGCCUCCACUUCUCCCAUCUCAGCCCCACCCUGGCCUCACUGCCUCCUCCAGUGCCCACAUGAUCUGAGCUCAAGCCUGGCUCCUACCUCCACUUCUCCCAUCUCAGCCCCACCCUGGCCUCACUGCCUCCUCCAGCGCCCACAUGAUCUGAGCUUGUCCAUGCUUCCAGCUCAUUGUACCCCUGUGUUUUGGAGUAUCUGUGGCUUCUCAGCUUUUCUGAGUUAAACAUGUGGCUUUGCAGAGACCUGACUGCCCUAUCCAAAAGGACCCAUGUUCUCACCCACUCCAGUUCUUUUCUUCUGCAUAAGAUUUACUCCAAUUUUAAAAAACUUUAUCUUCAUUGUUACUUUCUGUUUUGUUCUAUCUCUUCUGACAGGCUGCAUAUUCAAUGAGAGUACAGUGUUUACUUUUGUAAACAGAGUUCCUGGCCCAGAACAGGUUAACAGAUAUUCAUCAAAAGAAAGCAAGAGCCAGGCCUCACUCACUAAGCUAAAAGGAAAUGUAUAAAACAAACCAGAAUAAAGUGGAAGGAAUCACUCUACCCAAUUUCAAAACAUUAUAUUGCUGCAGCAGAAAUCAAAAUUCUGCAGUACUUGUGGCAGGAUGGACACAUAGGUCAAUUGGACAUCUAUAGGUGAAAAAAAAAAGAAAGAAAAAAAAGAAAAGGAAAGAAAAGAAAAAGGAGAGAAAGAAGAUCAACCUAAACCCCACACCUAAUAUAUCAACUGUAAAUGGAUCAAGACUUAAAUUUAAAUCUGAAAACCAUACAGCCUUUUAAAAACAACACAGGAGAGAAUCUCUGGGAUCUGGGUCCUGGCAGAGUUCUUAGACCUGACACCAGAAGCAGGAUUCCUAAGAUAAGAAAUUAAUGAACUGGAUCUCCUCAAAAUUAAACAUUUUGCUCUGCAAAAGCCCAUAUAAAGAGGAUUAAAAGACAGGAUACAGACUGGGGGAAAAUAUAUUUGCAAAGAACAAAAAAGGAGCAGAACUUUAACAUAGAAAGAAUUCUCACAACUCAGCAGUUUAGAAAAAUGCAAUCAGAAACUGGGAAAAAAAGCAUUAACAGACAUUUCACUGAGGAGGAUACACAGAUGCCAAGGAGGGUGUGGAAAGAUGCCCCAAUCCUCAGCCUGUAGGAGAAUACAGAUCAAACGGGCAAUAAGCUGUGGCCACACAUCUAUCAGAGUGGCUAAAAUUAAAAACAUAAAAUAGUGACAACAUAGAACGCUGGUGAGGAUGCAGAGACACUGGAGCACUCAGCAGGUCGGGGGAGGUGAAGUUGCAGAACCACGCUGGAAAGCAUGAAAUAAUGAUACAGCCCAGCUAGUGCAUUUGGGAGCAUUUGUUCUGAAGAAAUGAAGACUCAAAUUUCCAAAAAAGCCUGUAGAAUCUCUGGGAAAAUGUCCUAAGGGGCAGAAAAUGUACAAUGUCUUUAUCUUUGUAUCAUCAAUACAGAGACCAAUGCCUUGAAGUGGUGUCUAUGUAAAUGCUUGCUACGUGAAAGACUCAUUUACAAAUAACAAGGAACAAGGGUGAAAGCCCUGAGGACCUGGAUGUGCCGAGUGCUUCUGGUUUAAUUCUCACAGCACCCUGGAAAGGUACUUACAGUCAAGUUCAUGAUAAAAAUGAGGCCAUUGGGGUAAAAUAAAGCACCUUGCCUAAUGCGACAUAGUGACCAUCUGCUCUGGAGUGAGCAGCUGGUCAGUGCAGCACUAACGCACCAUCUCUUCCCAGUCCAGCACUCAGCCUCCACACCAGAAGGUCCUCAGAAAUGAGGAAGGCAAAUAGAAAGCAAGUGGUUCACUGCUAAGGAAAGUAAGUUAUAAACAAUAUCAAACAAAGCGCUCAGACAUGCGUAAUUCUGGCACAAGGCUUAGGGUAAGGUGUGAUGUUUCCCCAUUGGGUUCGAAGAAACAGCACUCACUGGUUCCUCACUGACAUCCUUCAUUCUGAUAAUGCAGAUUCCCUUCCUUGUGCUGCUGACUGCUCAAUUUAGGAAGAUCUCUUCCUUGAUUUAGGAAGCUGUCAGUGCACACAAAGCAAUCUUGUGUACUACUAUGAAUAUGCCCAAAAGAACAGUGUGAGAAAUAAUAGGAUCCUAAUUAUAUGUUCUUUGGUAGAUGGUGACACAUAAAUACAAAAUCAGUCCCCAUUUCCACCUGCCUAUAGAAUAUAUCCCUUCACUGAUAACUGUUCUUCAGCAGUACCUAGGUUAUUUAAGUACGAAUAUACUGCUACAUAUUGUUGAUGAUUUCUUAUUGUUUUUGUUGCUUGUGCUUUGGGCAUCAUGUCUAAGACAGUAAGAUAUUAUCCAAUAUCUCUGUUUUUUUUUUCUAAGCCUUUUAUGGUUUUACCUCUUAUUUCAUGUCUUUGAUCCAUUUUGAGUUGUUUUGGUAGAAGGUGUGAGAUACAGGUCUACUGUCAUUCUUCUGCGUCUGGAUAACUGGGUGUUCCAGCAGUAUCUGUUGAAGAGACUGUUCACUGUCAGGGCCGUGCUGGCAACAAAAACAAACAAUCAAAUACAAAUUUAUCAAAACUAAAACCUUUUUGGUUUUUGCAUCAAAGGACACCAUUAGUAAAGUGAAAAGACAACCCACAGAAUGGGAGAAAAUGUUUGCAGAUUGUGUAUUUGAAGAGGGUCUAGUGUUCAAAAUAUAUAAAAAGACUCCUGCAACUCAAAAAUAAAAAGACAACCCAAUUAACCAAUGGGCCAAGGACUUGAAUAGACAUUUCUCUGAAGAAGAUAUACAAACAGUCAACAAGAACAUGAAAAUAUGUUCAAUGUUAAGGAAAUACCAAUCAAAACCACAGUGAGACACCAUUUUACAACCACCAGGGUGGCAAUAAUAGUAAUUAUAAUUAUAAUAAUAAAAGUGAGGCCAGCUGCAAUGGCUCCCGGCCCAGCCGCAGUGGCUCACACCUGUGAUCCCAGCACUUUGGGAGGCCAAGGCAGGCGGAUCACUUGAGGUCAGAUACAACAGCAGCCUGGCCAACAUGGCAAAACUCUGUCUCUACUAAACAUACAAAAUAAAUAAAUAAAUAAAUAAAUAAAUAAUAAAAAUUAGCUGGGCAUGGUGGCAGGCACCUGUAAUCCCAGCUACUCAAGAUGCUGAGGCAGGAGAAUUGCUUGAAUCCAGGAGGCAGAGGUUGAAGUGAGCUGAGAUCGCACCACUGCACUCCAGCCUGGACGACAGAGUGAGACUCCACCUUAAAAAAACUAAUAAAUAAAGCUGGACGCAGUGGCUCACACCUGUAAUCCCAGCACUUUGGGAGGCUGAGUGGGGUGGAUCAUGAGGUCAGGAGAUCGAGGCCAUCCUGGCUAACAUGCUGAAACCCCAUCUCUACCAAAAAUACAAAAAAAUUAGCCAGGCGUGGUGGUGGGCACCUGUAGUCCCAGCUACUUGGGAGGCUGAGGCAGGAGAAUGGCAUGAACCUGGGAGGCGGAGCUUGCAGUGAGCCAAGAUCGCGCCACUGCACUCUAGCCUGGGUGACAGAGUGAGACUCCAUCUCAAAAAUCAUAAUAAUAAUAAAUAAAAUAAUAAUAAUAAUAAUAAUAAUAAUAAUAAUAAAACUGUUGAUGAGAAACAGGAGCCCUCGUACCUCACUGGCUGGAAUGCAAAGUGACUCAGAGACUGGUAAACAGUGACGUGGUUCCUCAAAAAGUUAAACACAGAAUUCCCAUGUGACACAGUAAUCCCACUUCUAGGUAUAUAUCUAAGAGAAAUGAAAACAUAUCUGCACAGAAAAAUGUACCCAAAUUAUAGCCACGUUAUUUAUAAUAUCCAAAUGGUAAAAGAACCCACACAUUCAUUAGUGGAUGCAUGAAUGAAUAAUUAAGAUACAUAUGUACAGAGGAAUACUGUUCAGUUAUAAAAAAGAUUUAAAUAGUAUACCUGCCACAGAGUAAAUGAACAUCAGAAACAUGGCAAGUGAAAGAGAUCAGACACAUCUCAUUUGAUGCUUUGCAUAUCUGCAGAGACAGAAAGAAGAUAGUAGGUGCCGAGCCUGGAGGAGGCAAAUGGAGUCACGGGUCCAGGGUGUGCUGGGCUGAUGAAAACUCGUGAAACUCGAGGGAGAUGGUGGCUGUAGGACACUGGACACUGUAAAGUGGAUAAUUGUGUCUUUUAUGAACUCAAUUUCAAUUAAAAAAAACAAAAGAAGUGGCAAAUGGUGAAAAGAAUUUUCUGUGAGAAAAAGAAGUUGAUGAAUGUUAUAAAGGCUCUGGUGUUUUUAAAAAUAAGAAUGGUAGAAUGAAUCAGUGCUUUCAAUUAUGUAAAUGUGUACAUGAUUUAAAAGUAAACAUUUAAAGAUUAACCAUUAACAGAGACAGACGUGGAUGGAGACACAGGACACAGGUUUGGGGGAGAAGACCCUUCUUCCGGCGUGGUGGACUGUGCAAGGCUCUGAUGUGUGGACACCAGAAGCUCCGUGGCUGGCUUCUCAGCCUCCACGUUCUCUUGUAGAGCAGCAGCAUCUGUGAAUUUUCACAAAGUGGAGCUCCUGAAAGAGACCGGGCAAAUGGGAACUAAGGAGGAAAAAACGAAAGGCGGACACACUCAGUGACCUCUGGGGCAGGUGAGCGGUGGCCUCACCUGACACCCGCCCGCGGGGAUGCACCCAGCAUGAGGUAGGGAGCUCGGCGUCGUAAGCUCUGACUCUCAGAUCAGUGGGCACUAGAACUACGAACGCUUAUUCAUUAGGAAUAAAAGUGUCCCAAGCGGGACUUUCUCAGCUGAGAGAAAUGCUCCGUGUCUUGAUGGGAAUGUGAGUUUGUCGGCGGCCGCGUUGCCAAAGUCACUGAGUCACGCACAGAAGCACUGAGCAUCUCACUGCGUGUAAAUUCUGUCUCCACAACUGAGCAAGGGCUGAACACUAGUCACCUGUUUUGUGCAGGGGAGUGAGUUAGCAAUUCUGAAGCCAUCUUGUUUAACACAGGGGAAGUAUCUUGAGGGGAGUGGUCUGUCUCUGACUGCUGGGGAGGACGUGGACAUGCGUGGACUACGUUACAUCGGAGAAGUUUCAGCCUCCUAAACGCCUAUCAUCUGGCUCUGCCCACUGAGAGGGCCCAAGAGCAUCGAGCUCGCCAAGGGUCCGGAGCUUGGUUUCCAAAUCUCAUUCUCCACUGACGAGAACCAGGGUCCCGGAGAAAGAGCCGAGUCCAAGACCGAGGCGGGGGAGCCUUGAUGCCUUAGAGAGUGAGAAAGUCUUCAGAGAACGCUGGUGCGCGUUCAGAGACACUUAAACAGCUCAAAGAGGCUCCCAUCAGCCAGAGCUGGGACCAUUUUACAGCCAAACUGAGUGACCGUAGUAAAGUAUUGUGAUAAUUAACACGAUAAAAAUCCAUGAGUUUAGCCUGGUGUGGUGGCACCGUGGAGGCCAGAAGAUCCCUUGAGCCCAGGAGUUUGAGGCCAGCCUGGGCAUCCAGCCAGACCUGUCGCUACAAAAAGGAAAAACAAAAAAGACUCUAUAAGUCUAUACUGAUAUAAUUGAAACAAAUAAAUAAGUGGUGUUAGUAAGUGACUGAUUAAAUAAAUAAAUGAAAAGGAAAAGUUUUCACUCACAGCAGAAUGACAGCAAAUAAAUAUAGAAGGAACGGGUGGUGAGUUUAGAAAAUCAUGAGUGAAAAGAAACAGGACAAAAAGUAUCUUCCCACGAGUUACUCACUUAUUAGUUACAAAUGGAAAUGUUAUAACUUUGGUGGAGAAAACUGGCCAACAGCCCCUUAACCACGUGAUCAAAGUCAGCAUCAGCAUGGAGGCAGGACCGCCUCGCCUGCACCGGGGUAUUAACAGGAAGCCUGGAGAGGCCACUGGGGCUUCAGCGUGCUGCUGCUGCACAGACAACACCUGCAUGGGACGUGGAGGAGGCAUCAGCAAACCCAGAUUGAGGGGGCUGGAAGAAAUCACUGGGCUGAACUCGGAGUGUGUCAAGGUAGGAGAGAUAAAGACCUCCCGAGGAGCUGCUCCAGGUGAGAGAGGGCGGCAGGUGCGACCACAUAGCAGACGGCAGGUACAACCACACGUGCAGCAGGUGACCCUGCCCCGGGUCUUCUUCCAGGACUCUGAAAAGAGAAGCUGUCAAGGGUAUUGUUGUGUUUUAAUAAAUUGGACACUAGAUAAUACAGUACUUAAUUCAGUAUAUAGAUAAUGGAUUUGAUCAUAGUAUUGCAUUACAAUUAAAUUUCCCAAUACUGAUAACUGUGCUCAGGCUGUCAGGAAAUACACAAUGAAGUAUCUAAAAAUUAGAGAACCACUAUGUCCACAACUUACUAUCAAAUGGAUCAGAAAAAGAUAGAUAGAUAGAUAGAUAGAUAGAUAGAUAGAUAGAUAGAUGAUUAGAUAGAUUAGAUAGAUAGAUAAUGUGAUGGGGCAAAAUGUACCAGUUGAUGUGUCUGGGUAACACAUUGUCUACAGUUGUAAAAAUUAUUCUUAUAACAUUUCCAUAAGUUUGAUAUAUCAAAAUUUCAAAAAUACAAAUAAUUUCAUCCUCCAAAAAUGGCAACAAUAAAUGAA